UUCACCCGUGACUGCAUUGAUGUAUCCGGUACUUAAUUCGAACCUACUUUCACACUUUAAAUUCCUCCCCACCACAUGACUUGCCAUCCACAAUAGCAUCCUUCGUUGUUCAAGCUUGUCUGAACAGCACACUACCAAAUUUGUUGUCUUUCUUUCUUUCUCCAACAUCUAUCACACUGAUUGUUUUCUGAUCUUCGAAACCACAUACGGUUUUAGCGUUUGGACCGGCCUCGCAACCUACAAACCUAUGCCAUGAAAGUGUGUGUGCGCGGGAGCUUCUUUUGUUACAAGAUUCCAUGGCUGUUCUAUCUUCCAUUCAUUGUUGGAAUCGGUGAUCUCGGAAAUUUUUGCAAGAAAUGUGAGUGGUGAAUGUAAAGGUGAUAUGACUAAACCCUAGGCUCUCACAUGAUAUGGAAUCAAACCUGCAAACUUGAAUAGUUUUGUGUAAGAAUUCAACUGUAGUGUAAGAAAAAUAUUGUCUUUUCAAUAUGAAUUCGAAAACUGAUGCACAGAAUGAAGUCUUUAGAUAUGAACAUAAAGCAAAGCACGCGAGAUACAUUUUCAAUAUCAAACGAAGCUUCAAUCCUUUCAUUACCGAUAAAUAUUCAGUCAACUUUUAUCAGCCGAAGAUGAAUUUUGAAUGUCAUCCUGGUCCUCUUAAUGCAUCGGUGUUGUGUUCUUGGACAAGAAUCACCGUGCGUUUGAGGUAUUCAAAAAUCCAACAGAGUAUAGUAACCCAAUAAAUAUUAGAUGAUCAGAUCGAGUGUUCUGGCAGUAUAUGAAAGAUAAUCCGGUUGGUGGAAGGGUAGAAGGUUUAAUACAUGCAGCAGGAUUCAGCGGGAUGCUGCAAAUUGGGUACAAGUAUGUAGACCACUCCUUAAUAACUGUGUUGGUUGAGAGGUGGAGGCCAGAAACUCACACGUUUCACCUUCCUUUUGGAGAAACGACUGUGACAUUACAGGAUGUCAACGUGUUGUGGGGGCUACCAAUAGAUGGGUUGCCUAUUUCUAGGGCUGACACUGGUAUGUCGAUGUAUACUGUAAGAGACAAGUGUCAACAGGUGUUGGGGUUUACCCCUGAGGAAGCUGAUGUGAGGGGCAAAAGGGUUAAGUCCUCCCGAGUUUUACAACAAAUAAUGUCCAAUUUUUCUGAAAACGAAGCAUCAGAUCAAGAUUGCAUUUUUCGUGCACGUCAAAUAAUAUUUUAUUUGAUAGGGUGCACAAUCUUACCUGAUUGAUGUCAAAUUUUUAGAAUUUCUCGUAGACUUGGCCGCAUGUUCGGGAUAUAGUUGGGGCAGUGCUGUGUUAGCUCACCUUUACAGAAACCUUUGUAACGCUGCAGCACCUAAUGCUAUAGCCAUUACUGGCCCAGUUGCGCUUCUACAAGUGUGGGUUUGGGAGAGGUUUCGUUGUUUUGCUCCUGCUGUUGCCCGGUUCCAGUACAAUGCCCCGUUAGUUGCUCGGUGGAAGGGAAGCUUAACGUGUACAGAUGUUUCCACACAUUGCCUGAUCUCAGCUGCAAUUUAUGACCGAGGCAACGUUUAAUUGGAGACCAUACGACGACAUUGUGGGUAGACUCCCCGAUAUAUGUCGGAGUGGUAUGGGAAUUUGGCGGAGUUGUUGCCCUCUGCUAUACUACUCGAUUGUGGAGCAUCACUAUCCUCAACGAGUGAUGAGACAUUUUGGCAUGUUCUAGUAUAUACCUAACCCAAUUGCCAUAGAUAAUAAUGAGCAUGCCAGGCUUCAUUCCAUGAACCGGAGCGGGAAAACCGGCUGGAACUGGUUAAGUCACGCACCGUAUGUUUGUCAGUGGGAGGUACGUCAUCAAAACUUGGUCACCGGGGAACUCAUGACAUCUGUUGGAGUUGCCAAUGAUUAAAUGCCAUGGUACAUGGAACAUACCGUGUUAUAUGUGUCUAACCCACAGUUGCCAGCUGGCCCUACGAGCGGUUUUCAAGACGAAGGAGCAAGGGCCCAAAUGAUGUCGGAGACGAUGGGUCUAAUUCACCGAUCUGAAGAUGUGGACGUUAUUCAUGGUGCGGCGUAUCGGGCCAUUGAGAUGUCUAAUGUUCCACAAUACACACAAUAUCCGACUCAUCUGUCACAGGAGCCGGUGGACCUUGUUUCAUAUCCUCGUACACAGAGGGUAGGGAGGCCCCGACGUCGUGGUCGUGGUGGUAGAAACGUUCAAGAGGCCGGGACAUCAAAUUGGGGCCCAAACUUCGAAACAGGGGGGAUCAGGAUCCGGUGGUAACGAAGAUGAAAAUUUUGCGGGAAACUUUGGUGGGUCACAUAACGUUGGCACUUUUUUUGCGGAUGCUAAUAUAGCGCCAAACAAUGAUAAUACUGAUAUGGGUGGAUCAUGGCAGUCAGUGUUGGCUACGACAUGCUCCGAGGGUUUUGACGUCAGUGACUUAUUGAACCCCCAACAGAAUGAUAUGGGUAACAACAAUCAGUUUGUAGACCCAAACAUAAGUCAGGCGGGGUUUUUUAGCCCCUCGUCAACAUAUGAUGGACCCCAACACAAGUCUGGCAGGGUUUGUUACCCCCGCGUCACAGAUGAUAACCUUUAUGCCGGAGACCCAAACAGACUAUCAGUACUGGGCCCCAAACCAAAGUAACGAAGAUCACCGGAACCAUUAUACAAAUGUUGAACCAAACCCCUCAGACUGGAGUCUCGACUUGAACUUGUUUCCACCAUCGAAUGACCCAUAGAGUGUAAUAC
This is a long non-coding RNA of Helianthus annuus (common sunflower), 2724 nucleotides long. RefSeq lists it as uncharacterized. The record is from RefSeq and is a predicted model, not a curated record. NCBI's taxonomy places the organism in Eukaryota, Viridiplantae, Streptophyta, Magnoliopsida, Asterales, Asteraceae. The transcript is spliced from 5 exons.